UGCGCAGGCGGUUUCUUAAGUCUGAUGUGAAAGCCCCCGGCUCAACCGGGGAGGGUCAUUGGAAACUGGGAGACUUGAGUGCAGAAGAGGAGAGUGGAAUUCCAUGUGUAGCGGUGAAAUGCGUAGAUAUAUGGAGGAACACCAGUGGCGAAGGCGGCUCUCUGGUCUGUAACUGACGCUGAGGCUCGAAAGCGUGGGGAGCAAACA
Molecule: ribosomal RNA, 207 nt
Filed under: uncultured bacterium
Lineage: Bacteria
Description: partial 16S ribosomal RNA
Rfam family: Bacterial small subunit ribosomal RNA
Source: RNAcentral